CAUCAACUGGAGGACCGAACCGACUAAUGUUGAAAAAUUAGCGGAUGACUUGUGGCUAGGGGUGAAAGGCCAAUCAAACUCGGAGAUAGCUGGUUCUCCCCGAAAGCUAUUUAGGUAGCGCCUCGGACGAAUACUACUGGGGGUAGAGCACUGUUAAGGCUAGGGGGUCAUCCCGACUUACCAACCCUUUGCAAACUCCGAAUACCAGUAAGUACUAUCCGGGAGACACACGGCGGGUGCUAACGUCCGUCGUGGAGAGGGAAACAACCCAGACCGCCAGCUAAGGUCCCAAAGUAUUGCUAAGUGGGAAACGAUGUGGGAAGGCUCAGACAGCUAGGAUGUUGGCUUAGAAGCAGCCAUCAUUUAAAGAAAGCGUAAUAGCUCACUAGUCGAGUCGGCCUGCGCGGAAGAUGUAACGGGGCUAAGCAAUACACCGAAGCUGCGGCAAUGUCUUUUAGACAUUGGGUAGGGGAGCGUUCUGUAAGCCGUUGAAGGUGAAUCGUAAGGUUUGCUGGAGGUAUCAGAAGUGCGAAUGCUGACAUGAGUAACGACAAAGGGGGGAAACGGGUUAAUAUUCCCGUACUUCUGACUAUUGCGAUGGGGGGACGGAGAAGGCUAGGUGGGCCAGGCGACGGUUGUCCUGGUUCAAGUGCGUAGGCUUGAGAGUUAGGUAAAUCCGGCUCUCUCUAAGGCUGAGACACGACGUCGAGCUACUACGGUAGUGAAGUCAUUGAUGCCAUGCUUCCAGGAAAAGCCUCUAAGCUUCAGAUAGUCAGGAAUCGUACCCCAAACCGACACAGGUGGUCGGGUAGAGAAUACCAAGGCGCUUGAGAGAACUCGGGUGAAGGAACUAGGCAAAAUGGUACCGUAACUUCGGGAGAAGGUACGCUCUUGAUGGUGAAGUCCC
This 907-nucleotide ribosomal RNA is filed under the name Vibrio cholerae. Its description in RNAcentral is "partial 23S ribosomal RNA". It matches the Rfam family "Bacterial large subunit ribosomal RNA", at positions 760 to 1769 of the family's 2925-position model. The record is from RNAcentral. Lineage: Bacteria; Pseudomonadati; Pseudomonadota; Gammaproteobacteria; Vibrionales; Vibrionaceae.